UUAGAGGAAGUAAAAGUCGUAACAAGGUUUCCGUAGGUGAACCUGCGGAAGGAUCAUUACCGAAGUAUAGGCCCCUCGCGGGCUGAACUUCCACCCUUUGUUUACCAUACCUUUGUUGCUUUGGCGGGCCCGGCCCCUAAAGCCCACCGGCCCCAGGCUGGUGAGCGCCCGCCAGAGACCCAUAAACCCAAACCAUUUACAGUGUCGUCUGAGAAAACUUUUAAUUAUUUAAAACUUUCAACAACGGAUCUCUUGGCUCUGGCAUCGAUGAAGAACGCAGCGAAAUGCGAUAAGUAAUGUGAAUUGCAGAAUUCAGUGAAUCAUCGAAUCUUUGAACGCACAUUGCGCCCCUUGGUAUUCCGGGGGGCAUGCCUGUUCGAGCGUCAUUAUCACCCCUCAAGCUCAGCUUGGUGUUGGGGCCUGCUGUAAAAGGCAGCCCUUAAAAUCAGUGGCGGUGCUGUCAGGCUCUAAGCGUAGUAACAUAUCUCGCUAUAGGGUCCUGGUGGUGUCUUGCCAAAACCCCACACUUUUUAAUGAUUGACCUCGGAUCAGGUAGGGAUACCCGCUGAACUUAAGC
RNAcentral lists this ribosomal RNA (577 nucleotides) under Tetracladium sp. C2/19. RNAcentral describes it as "eukaryotic LSU rRNA". The stretch from base 233 to 386 matches the Rfam family "5.8S ribosomal RNA". The record is from RNAcentral. Lineage: Eukaryota; Fungi; Ascomycota; Leotiomycetes; Helotiales.